Dermochelys coriacea (leatherback sea turtle) is the source of this 399-nucleotide long non-coding RNA. RefSeq lists it as uncharacterized. NCBI's taxonomy places the organism in Eukaryota, Metazoa, Chordata, Testudines, Dermochelyidae. The transcript is spliced from 3 exons. The record is from RefSeq and is a predicted model, not a curated record.
UCCAUUCAUCCUGGGGACACACACGGAUUCGAGGCCCCGUUCCUAAGAGGCCACGGGCAGAGGAGACGGGAGGAGUUGGUGCACACGCUUGGUGCAAUGAGCGUGGGGAUGUGUGCGACACAGACAGCUUGGACCGUGUCCAUAGUGUAGCAUUGUGGUCCCUGUAGAGCCUCGGUGGCAGAACUCCGCCUUUCUUGUCAACGUCUCUGCCUGGUUUCGCGGAAAGAAGGCGCUUCUCCUUGGACCCAGUGAAUGAGAUGCUCCAGCUGUCCCCUCUGCUCCUAGGUGGUGGAGCAAAAGUCUUACUGCUGUUCAGUAGGGAAUCAGCAAACGCCGAAGGGAGGAGCCGCCAGCAAAGUUAUCCUUGGCAAGCCGAAAUAGGGGAGUUUCCAUUUUCCC